RNAcentral lists this ribosomal RNA (253 nucleotides) under uncultured bacterium. RNAcentral's name for it is "partial 16S ribosomal RNA". It matches the Rfam family "Bacterial small subunit ribosomal RNA", at positions 524 to 776 of the family's 1533-position model. The record is from RNAcentral.
UACGGAGGGGGCUAGCGUUGUUCGGAAUUACUGGGCGUAAAGCGCGUGUAGGCUGCUCUGCAAGUCGGAUGUGAAAGCCCUGGGCUCAACCUAGGAAGUGCACUCGAAACUGCAGAGCUUGAGUCCUGGAGAGGAAGGCGGAAUUCUCGGUGUAGAGGUGAAAUUCGUAGAUAUCGAGAGGAACACCGGUGGCGAAGGCGGCCUUCUGGACAGUGACUGACGCUGAGGUGCGAAAGCGUGGGGAGCAAACAGG